This 72-nucleotide small nucleolar RNA is filed under the name Microtus ochrogaster (prairie vole). Its description in RNAcentral is "Small nucleolar RNA SNORD113/SNORD114 family (ENSMOCG00000002401.1)". It matches the Rfam family "Small nucleolar RNA SNORD113/SNORD114 family". From Rfam's summary of the family: The imprinted human domain at 14q32 contains two clusters of tandemly repeated small nucleolar RNAs named 14q(I) and 14q(II) snoRNAs. These two clusters are named SNORD113 and SNORD114 respectively in the HGNC approved gene symbol nomenclature. The record is from Rfam by way of RNAcentral. Lineage: Eukaryota; Metazoa; Chordata; Mammalia; Rodentia; Cricetidae.
GGGACCAGUGAUGAGCACUGAUGAUGUAUGAUCUGGGGAUCAUGAUUACAGGUCUGGGAGUCUGAGGUCCAC